Molecule: small nuclear RNA, 103 nt
Organism: Sciurus vulgaris (Eurasian red squirrel)
Lineage: Eukaryota; Metazoa; Chordata; Mammalia; Rodentia; Sciuridae
Source: Ensembl
GUGCUCUCUUUUGUGACACAUAGAUUAAAUUGAAAUGAUACAGAGAUUAGCAUGGCCCUUGCACAAGGACAAUAUGAGAAAACAAAACUAAAACAGAAUCUUA